AGGGUUUGAUCAUGGCUCAGGAUGAACGCUGGCGGCGUGCUUAACACAUGCAAGUCGAACGAACCUUCGGGUUAGUGGCGGACGGGUGAGUAACGCGUGAGAAUCUGCCCUCAGGAGGGGGAUAACGGUUGGAAACGACCGCUAAUACCCCAUAUGCCUAUUGGUGAAAUGAAUUUCGCCUGAGGAUGAGCUCGCGUCUGAUUAGCUAGUUGGUGAGGUAAUGGCUCACCAAGGCUUCGAUCAGUAGCUGGUCUGAGAGGAUGAUCAGCCACACUGGGACUGAGACACGGCCCAGACUCCUACGGGAGGCAGCAGUGGGGAAUUUUCCGCAAUGGGCGAAAGCCUGACGGAGCAACGCCGCGUGAGGGACGAAGGCCUCUGGGCUGUAAACCUCUUUUCUCAAGGAAGAAGAUAUGACGGUACUUGAGGAAUAAGCCACGGCUAAUUCCGUGCCAGCAGCCGCGGUAAUACGGGAGUGGCAAGCGUUAUCCGGAAUUAUUGGGCGUAAAGCGUCCGCAGGCGGCUUUUCAAGUCUGCUGUUAAAGCGUGGAGCUUAACUCCAUCAUGGCAGUGGAAACUGAAAGGCUUGAGUAUGGUAGGGGCAGAGGGAAUUCCCGGUGUAGCGGUGAAAUGCGUAGAUAUCGGGAAGAACACCAGUGGCGAAGGCGCUCUGCUGGGCCAUUACUGACGCUCAUGGACGAAAGCCAGGGGAGCGAAAGGGAUUAGAUACCCCUGUAGUCCUGGCCGUAAACGAUGAACA
Molecule: ribosomal RNA, 760 nt
Filed under: uncultured bacterium
Lineage: Bacteria
Description: bacterial SSU rRNA
Rfam family: Bacterial small subunit ribosomal RNA
Source: RNAcentral